UAAUAGCUCACUGGUCGAGUCGGCCUGCGCGGAAGAUGUAACGGGGCUAAACCAUGCACCGAAGCUGCGGCAGCGACGCUUAUGCGUUGUUGGGUAGGGGAGCGUUCUGUAAGCCUGUGAAGGUGGCCUGUGAGGGUUGCUGGAGGUAUCAGAAGUGCGAAUGCUGACAUAAGUAACGAUAAAGCGGGUGAAAAGCCCGCUCGCCGGAAGACCAAGGGUUCCUGUCCAACGUUAAUCGGGGCAGGGUGAGUCGACCCCUAAGGCGAGGCCGAAAGGCGUAGUCGAUGGGAAACAGGUUAAUAUUCCUGUACUUGGUGUUACUGCGAAGGGGGGACGGAGAAGGCUAUGUUGGCCGGGCGACGGUUGUCCCGGUUUAAGCGUGUAGGCUGGUUUUCCAGGCAAAUCCGGAAAACCAAGGCUGAGGCGUGAUGACGAGGCACUACGGUGCUGAAGCGACAAAUGCCCUGCUUCCAGGAAAAGCCUCUAAGCAUCAGGUAACAUCAAAUCGUACCCCAAACCGACACAGGUGGUC
RNAcentral lists this ribosomal RNA (532 nucleotides) under Escherichia coli. RNAcentral's name for it is "partial 23S ribosomal RNA". It matches the Rfam family "Bacterial large subunit ribosomal RNA", at positions 1135 to 1668 of the family's 2925-position model. Lineage: Bacteria; Pseudomonadati; Pseudomonadota; Gammaproteobacteria; Enterobacterales; Enterobacteriaceae. The record is from RNAcentral.